UACGUAGGUGGCAAGCGUUGUCCGGAUUUACUGGGCGUAAAGGGCGUGCAGGCGGUUUGUUAAGUGCAGGGUGAAAGCUCCCGGCUCAACUGGGAGAGGUCCUUGCAUACUGGCGAACUCGAGGGAGGCAGAGGAAAGUGGAAUUCCCGGUGUAGUGGUGAUAUGCGUAGAUAUCGGGAGGAACACCUGUGGCGAAGGCGGCUUUCUGGGCCUUACCUGACGCUGAGACGCGAAAGCGUGGUGAGCGAACCGG
Molecule: ribosomal RNA, 253 nt
Filed under: uncultured bacterium
Lineage: Bacteria
Description: partial 16S ribosomal RNA
Rfam family: Bacterial small subunit ribosomal RNA
Source: RNAcentral